AUGCACCUCAUGACAUUAUUUAAUGACGCUACAAAUAUGGAGAGAGCUGAGGAACCUGUAACAGUUAAUACAUCUGAAAUUCGCCAGCCAGCUGUUCCUUGCCACCCAUCUUUGGAGAACUCGACGAUGGAGAACCUCAACAGACAGAAGGAAACCGUAUUCAGCCUGGUGCAGGUGAAGGGGACGUGGAAACGCAAAGCAGGGCAAAAUGUGAAGCAAGGAAUAAAAGGACGAGUGUCAGCGGCUAAAAUUUACGAAAGCAGCUCCUCUAGUGGCACCACCUGGACAGUGGUCACCCCCAUCACCUUCACAUAUACAGUUACUCAGACCAAAAAUCUUCUUGACCCCAGCAAUGACACUCUGCUUUUGGGCCACAUCAGAGACACUCAGCAGCUUGAGGCCUUACGGUCCAGCACCAAGCCCUUAAAACGCUUCAUAGUCAUGGAUGAGGUAGUAUACAAUCUCUAUGGUUCUCAGGUCACCGACUACCUCGAGGCCAGACACGUCCUGUACCGGAUCCUGCCCCUGCCCAUGACGGAGGAGAACAAGUCCAUGGAAAUGGGCCUGAAGAUUCUGGAAGAAGUCCACCAGUUUGGAAUCGACCGGCGUACGGAGCCCAUCAUCGCCAUCGGAGGUGGAGUCUGCCUGGAUAUCGUGGGUCUCGCAGCGUCCCUCUACAGAAGGCGCACUCCAUACAUUCGUGUUCCCACUACCCUUUUGUCGUACAUCGAUGCUAGCGUCGGAGCAAAGACGGGCGUGAAUUUCGCAAAUUGCAAGAACAAGCUAGGCACCUACAUCGCACCUGUUGCUGCCUUCUUGGACAGGUCGUUUAUACAGACAAUUCCUCGCAGACACAUAUCUAAUGGUCUUGCAGAAAUGUUGAAGAUGGCUCUCAUGAAGCACAGAGGGCUGUUUGAACUUCUGGAAAUGCAGGGGCAGUUUCUUUUAGACUCGAAGUUCCAGUCCGGUAUGGUUCUAGAAGACGACCUCAUUGACCCUGCUUCUGUUUCUACCCGUGUCGCUAUAGAAACCAUGUUAGAAGAAUUGGCCCCAAACCUGUGGGAGGAUGAUCUUGACAGACUGGUCGACUUCGGUCACCUGAUCAGCCCAGAAUUAGAGAUGAAAGUCCUACCAGCUUUACUCCACGGUGAAGCAGUGAAUAUUGAUAUGGCCUACAUGGUGUAUGUGGCAUGUGAGAUGGGGUUGCUCACAGAGCAGGAGAAGUUCAGGAUCGUCUGUUGCAUGCUGGGGCUGGAGCUGCCAGUGUGGCAUCAAGACUGCACCUUUGCUUUGGUUCAGAAAUCUCUGCGUGACAGACUACAACACUCUGGAGGGCUUGUGAGGAUGCCUUUACCAACAGGCCUUGGAAGAGCUGAAAUCUUCAACGACACUGAUGAAGGCACUCUGUUCCAGGCUUAUGAGAAGUGGUGCGAUGAACUCAGAACUGGUUCACUUCAAUGAGACCUCAGCCAAUGUUUACAUACAAGGGAUCCUCUUAGCUUUAACAAUUUAUACGCAUGUAUUAUUCUAUGACAGCUUCUGUUUCCUUUUUAUUUUGUAUACAUUAUGGGCAUUUAAAUGUUUUACAUUUAAAACAAUUGCUUCUCAUUACUAUAAUUGCCAUUUUUGUAAAUGGCCGUGAAUGGAAGAAGGCUGACUUGAUAUGUGAAGAUCUUUCUUUAGUUGUGUUUAAGGGUUUCUUUCCCACCAUUUCAUAUUGGACAAAGGAACAUUUCGGUUAAUAAUGAAAUCAUUUAUUAAAAAUAAAAAUAAAAAGUCUGUCUGAUGUGUUUGAUGUAAUGCAUGCAAGUUUAUAAUAAACAAUUAUCUUAUUAGCAAGUCUCCAUUAUGAUGAGAAAGAUGUAGCCUAUUAUGUUUCAGAGCAACAAUAGCUUCAGUUUUGUGAACACCAUCACAAAUACCACAGAUAUGUGCAGAAAACAUGGCACCAUUUGUCUGGUAUUCAAUUAAUGUUCUCUUGUUUUUAUGUAUUCAUAAGUCUUAAAAACAAACACAAGAAUACUGGAUAUUGGUACAAGAAUACUAC
This 2047-nucleotide long non-coding RNA is filed under the name Sinocyclocheilus grahami. RNAcentral's name for it is "lncRNA (ENSSGRG00000028861.1)". The record is from RNAcentral. Lineage: Eukaryota; Metazoa; Chordata; Actinopteri; Cypriniformes; Cyprinidae.